AUGAGCACGAAGCAUCGCGCGUUAAUGCGCCGUGCGAGGUUCAAGAUGUCUGUCAAGUACUGUAGCAGAAGCAGGUUCGGCUCUGAACGGGGAGCAACCAUGUCGUCGGUGUCCAGAUUUGUGCAGCGCUGGGAGAAAAGGAAAAGAAAACCUAGCUCCGCACGCUUCUUCCCCGUUCUGUCGAUCCCCUCUCCGCUCGCCUCCUCUCCCGGGUCGCUGCGCCGCUGGCUCAGCCGCUUCUCGUCCUCGACCAGAUCAGCGUCCAUCUUCAGCGGCGACGGCAUCUUCAGCGUAGGAGGCGGGUGGUCGUGGCGGCGGCAUCUUCAGCGGCGUCGCCGGACGAGCUCCACGCGCGGGGGAGAUAUCUCCACGGGCCCGCGCAACCACGUCCCCUCGCUAACGUCGGCCUCACAAAGAAGUGGUCUAGUCCGCCCGUGGCGCCGAGGAGGGGGAGCAGCCGCGCCCGGAGGAGGUCGUCCCCAACGCAUGCAUCUAGUCGUCGACCUUAACUACACUGCAGUCGCCGCUGCUGGUCCAGGUCGCCCAGUUGACACUGGCCCUGCCGGAGUGCAGCUCAUCCUGCCCGAGGACAUGAUACGUACGGUAUUUGGCAAUGUUAUCUCUUGGGCUGCCCAAUUGAUCACUGAAGCUGGUGGCAAGGUGGCCGCCAUCAGAGAUGUCACAGGGGCUGUCAAGAACUCCAAUGGCAUUGACAUAGCCAAGCCGAUGAAGCACUCGGCAGAGAACCGCGGGAUCAAGGGCUUCGACGGAGGCGAUGCUGUCGACCUGAUCUCCCUGCUCACGGAAGAGUGUGACGUGCUCAUCCCGGCAGCUCUGGGAGGAGUCAUAAACAAUAGAGAAAUGUACAUGUUCGUGGUGCAGAUUCUGGCAAAGAAGGGCGUGCUGAUCCUACUGGACAUCCUGGCCAACUCCGGCGGAGUGAUGGUGAGCUACUUCAAGUGGGUGCAGAACAUCUAG
Molecule: ribosomal RNA, 978 nt
Filed under: Triticum aestivum (bread wheat)
Lineage: Eukaryota; Viridiplantae; Streptophyta; Magnoliopsida; Poales; Poaceae
Description: partial small subunit ribosomal RNA
Source: RNAcentral